Non-coding RNA from Heterocephalus glaber (naked mole-rat), 935 nucleotides. Lineage: Eukaryota; Metazoa; Chordata; Mammalia; Rodentia; Bathyergidae. The record is from RefSeq and is a predicted model, not a curated record.
AGCAAGGACACUGAAGUGAUGAUUCUUAUUUCCCUUUAUUGAUCCCUAUGCAACUACUCGGAGAUGUUUCUAGUGUCACCCUACAUGGUAAGCCUUCUUCCUGCUUCACCAACAGAAGGCUCACCUUCAGUAUGUAUGGUUUAAUCUCCAUUCUGACAUCACUAAGAAAUCAUUCUGGCAUCACUAAGAUAGUAACUCUGAAUCUAAGUUGCAAAUGAAGUAGGACCUAGGUGUCUCACAAGACAUGGUCCUACAUUUGACUGAAAAUAUAUUAUCAAAUUUUGUUUGCAAGGGGCCACUACAUCUGAGACUUUAAAAAUGCUACCAAGCCCAAAAAUUGCCAAGAGUAAGAGAUCCACCAGCCCUCUGAGAGGAGAUAACAGAGAUGUCCUCAGAAGAGCUGCUUGGACUUCUUCAGGAGAAACUAAGGCGCAACAAAAGAGUACUCUGUUCCGAAAGUUUUGAAGAAUGAAGUGAAAACUGAAGAUAGUAAAUUGUUCAGUCUCAUAACUUCAAACUUCACAUUUCAUACAAUAGCACCACUAGUUAUAGUAUUUUCUCUCACCGUCAUGUUAUGAAAAUAAGAGAGCUAAGAUUAUUAAUUUAUUAUCUCAAAAAGAGAAAACAUAGCAGAAAAGGAAACUGACAUAAGAGAACAUUCUGCCCAUUAUCACAUUAAGUCAUAAAAUCUCAAGAGUCCCAGUCUACUAGUACAGGUCACAAUACUAUAACCUUGAAAACAACCAAAUAACAACUUGCACAUUACACAAAGCUACUGCUUUAGCUUUCUAGCCAGCUUGCUUUAUUAGAAUACAGAUUAGCAUGGUCAAGGUCACAGCUGUCCUAAAGAAAAAUAGGACAUCCUUUCCAUGGGCAGCCAUCUCACAAAAGUAUGUGUGGUGGGACCCAUGCAAAUCUACCUUCUUUGCAGGAAA